GCCGGGCGGGGCGGCGCGGCGGGCGGCCGCCUUGCUGUCGGCGACGCGCGGGCCGGGCCCGAUCGGCACGGGCAGCCCGGCG
RNAcentral lists this transfer RNA (82 nucleotides) under Streptomyces albidoflavus. RNAcentral's name for it is "tRNA-Asp". RNAcentral also lists the same sequence under 2 other names. The record is from RNAcentral. Lineage: Bacteria; Bacillati; Actinomycetota; Actinomycetes; Kitasatosporales; Streptomycetaceae.